Molecule: ribosomal RNA, 400 nt
Filed under: uncultured bacterium
Lineage: Bacteria
Description: bacterial SSU rRNA
Rfam family: Bacterial small subunit ribosomal RNA
Source: RNAcentral
GGGGAAUAUUGGACAAUGGGCGAAAGCCCGAUCCAGCAAUGCCGCGUGAGUGAUGAAGGCCUUAGGGUUGUAAAGCUCUUUUACCCGGGAUGAUAAUGACAGUACCGGGAGAAUAAGCUCCGGCUAACUCCGUGCCAGCAGCCGCGGUAAUACGGAGGGAGCUAGCGUUAUUCGGAAUUACUGGGCGUAAAGCGCACGUAGGCGGCUUUGUAAGUUAGAGGUGAAAGCCUGGUGCUCAACACCAGAACUGCCUUUGAUACUGCAUCGCUUGAAUCCAGGAGAGGUGAGUGGAAUUCCGAGUGUAGAGGUGAAAUUCGUAGAUAUUCGGAAGUACACCAGUGGCGAAGGCGGCUCACUGGACUGGUAUUGACGCUGAGGUGCGAAAGCGUGGGGAGCAAAC